UACGUAGGUCCCGAGCGUUGUCCGGAUUUAUUGGGCGUAAAGCGAGCGCAGGCGGUUUAAUAAGUCUGAAGUUAAAGGCAGUGGCUUAACCAUUGUUCGCUUUGGAAACUGUUAAACUUGAGUGCAGAAGGGGAGAGUUGAAUUCCAUGUGUAGCGGUGAAAUGCGUAGAUAUAUGGAGGAACACCGGUGGCGAAAGCGGCUCUCUGGUCUGUAACUGACGCUGAGGCUCGAAAGCGUGGGGAGCAAACAGG
This 252-nucleotide ribosomal RNA is filed under the name uncultured bacterium. RNAcentral describes it as "partial 16S ribosomal RNA". It matches the Rfam family "Bacterial small subunit ribosomal RNA", at positions 524 to 776 of the family's 1533-position model. The record is from RNAcentral.